GCAUGUCUAAGUACAAACUAUAUUAAAGUGAAACCGCGAAAGGCUCAUUAAAUCAGUUAUGGUUCCUUAGAUCGUACCCACAAUUACUUGGAUAACUGUGGUAAUUCUAGAGCUAAUACAUGCAAACAGAGCUCUAACCGGUGACGGAAGGAGUGCUUUUAUUAGAUCAAAACUAAUCGGCGUCGGUAACGUUUCGGCGUUAUCGUUCGUCGCUCAAUAUAUGGUGAAUCUGAAUAACUUUAUGCUGAUCGCAUGGUCUUGUACCGGCGACGCAUCUUUCAAAUGUCUGCCUUAUCAACUGUCGAUGGUAGGAUCUGCGCCUACCAUGGUUGUAACGGGUAACGGGGAAUCAGGGUUCGAUUCCGGAGAGGGAGCCUGAGAAACGGCUACCACAUCCAAGGAAGGCAGCAGGCGCGCAAAUUACCCACUCCCGGCACGGGGAGGUAGUGACGAAAAAUAACGAUACGGGACUCAUCCGAGGCCCCGUAAUCGGAAUGAGUACACUUUAAAUCCUUUAACAAGGACCAAUUGGAGGGUAAGUCUGGUGCCAGCAGCCGCGGUAAUUCCAGCUCCAAUAGCGUAUAUUAAAGUUGUUGCGGUUAAAAAGCUCGUAGUUGAAUUUGUGUCCCGCACUGUCGGUACACCGCCCGCGGUGCUAACUGGCAUGUUUGCGGGACGUCCUGCCGGUGGAUGUAUGUAGAUUGAUUUAAACGUCUUUCUGCACAUCCGACUUAUGAAUCCUGUCGCGGUGCUCUUAAUUGAGUGUCGAGGUGGGCCGGCACGUUUACUUUGAACAAAUUAGAGUGCUUAAAGCAGGCUAAUGAAUGCCUGAAUAAUUAGUGCAUGGAAUAAUGGAACAGGACCUUGGUUCUAUUUUGUUGGUUUUCGGAACCCCAAGGUAAUGAUUAAUAGGGACAGAUGGGGGCAUUCGUAUUGCGACGUUAGAGGUGAAAUUCUUGGAUCGUCGCAAGACGGACUAAAGCGAAAGCAUUUGCCAAAGAUGUUUUCAUUAAUCAAGAACGAAAGUCAGAGGUUCGAAGGCGAUCAGAUACCGCCCUAGUUCUGACCAUAAACGAUGCCAGCUAGCGAUCCGCCAAAGUUCCUCCGAUGACUUGGCGGGCAGCUUUCGGGAAACCAAAGCUUUUGGGUUCCGGGGGAAGUAUGGUUGCAAAGCUGAAACUUAAAGGAAUUGACGGAAGGGCACCACCAGGAGUGGAGCCUGCGGCUUAAUUUGACUCAACACGGGAAACCUCACCAGGCCCAGACACUGGAAGGAUUGACAGAUUGAGAGCUCUUUCUUGAUUCAGUGGGUGGUGGUGCAUGGCCGUUCUUAGU
RNAcentral lists this ribosomal RNA (1335 nucleotides) under Atranus pubescens. RNAcentral describes it as "SSU rRNA". It matches the Rfam family "Eukaryotic small subunit ribosomal RNA", at positions 53 to 1298 of the family's 1831-position model. The record is from RNAcentral. Lineage: Eukaryota; Metazoa; Arthropoda; Insecta; Coleoptera; Carabidae.